Molecule: long non-coding RNA, 2030 nt
Filed under: Otus sunia (Oriental scops-owl)
Lineage: Eukaryota; Metazoa; Chordata; Aves; Strigiformes; Strigidae
Description: lncRNA (ENSOSUG00000006816.1)
Source: RNAcentral
UUCCCCUGCACUUUGUUUCCCUUUCCCUCAAACCAUACUUUAAUUUUCAAAGACUCAAGUGUUAAUCAGUAAGUUGUUUAGCUGAGGCAACUUUUUAAACUCUAGAGCCUCUUUUUUUUUUUUAUAUUUGUCAAAUACUGAAAUCCUCUUAAAAAAAAUAAAAGCUGUAGCUUUACAACUUGCCUUGGACUGUGAAAUUGAACUCAACUGGAAGAUGAUGUUUACAUCGGUCUGGUAAAAAUAUAGUCCUUGUAGGCUGCUUACAUUACAGAAACCCUCUUACACUUUCGUUUUUUUACCAUGUUUUGCAACUGGAGAGGAGCCUGCAAAAGAGUUGCACAGUCUUGCUAGCUUGCUCAUUUUACUCAUGUGGACUGGUAGGUCAGAGCUGCCAAUAGACUAGACACUUUCAUCUGACUGUAUCACCUGGUUAGUGUCAGUGGCAUUUUAGUCUGAAUGGACUCACUGCCAGUGUUGAGUGGACCUCAUUUUUUUUCAUCUCCGUGCAAGUGACCUUGGAAAAUUUUCCAUUGGUUUCUUAUGGGAGCAGUGAGAAGAGCUGUGGAAGAGAGCACUCAAAUGCAAGCUGGUCCAAACAGCAGUAACGUGGAGAGGGACCCUGUAGUCUGCAUCUGUCCCGUCUUGGAAAGCGAAUUUACUGCUUCCCUUCUGCUCUCUGAAGACUUUAAGUAAAUUGAUAAGUACAAGGACAAAGGACCAUUGUCUGCCCAAACAUGACUGGAGCCAGUUGUGUUCUGCCCCCACGCACCGCGGUCUGUCUGCGUGGGACGCUGCAUUUGCUGUCACAAAGGAGAAAUGUGCUUUCAUUCAAAGGGCACGUCUGGCUGGUGCUGCUCUCUCUAUUUGUGUGUGAUGGUGACAGGUUAAAAGUCAGGGAUGGACCCUCUCUUCAGUCUACCUGCUCAAACCACAAUACUUCCGUGGAGAUAUUUUAAGGAGUGCAAAGUCCCUGUGCAAACGAGACAAGUAUGUUUUUCAUUCAGGAAUGUCUGCCUGUUGUUCCAGUCACUGUUCAAGAUUUCAAAGCUCUCUCUCAAAAGAGGAGUGGCAUUAUCCACUGUAGCUCAGUGCAUGGGGGAGGAAGGUUUGUUCCCAGAGACAGAGGAGGAAGCCACCCAGGUUUGAUGAGCUCCAGUCCCAGGACCUGGAUUCCUGAGCCCAUCACUUAAAGAAGGAUCACAGAGUAGGACCAAGAAGAAGUAACUGCGAUGUGCUGUCUGGCUUCCAGGUUAGUCUGUGCACUUGACUGAUGAAUAGCUCAGCAGUUCACGGUGACUGAGCCAUCAGUAUCACAUCUGUGAGGACAAUGUGCUGUGCUGGCUUGGGAGUGACAUGUUGUUUGGUUCAGUGACAUCUGUGAGACUUUGAAGCACCUUAUGCUUGCAAUUUGUCUUCCUUUUCCCUUUCAAAAUAGGUAAUGGAUGGCUUAAUCACCACCCCUUACAUGAGUUUUUCCCAGUUGAUUUGCUCAGUGUCUUGUAAGGUUUUGAGUAGUAAGAAUUUAGUCUUUUUCUUGGGAAGGAAGACACUUUCUUACUGCAAGUAAUAUCUUCCACAGCUAUUCUCAUCUACAUUAAUGCAGAUCCUUGCUUGUCAGCCUCAGCAAACUGCUAAUGGUAAUGCAUUCCCAAAAUUUAUUAUGAUAGAUAUACGUGUGCAUGAGUAUUUAAGUGUGUGGCUUUUUAUUUUCAGUCGUGUAUCAUGAGAGAGGUCACAUACAUUUCUUAUUUAGGGUGAUGAGAAUAAUGGUGCUACAAUAUUCUUAUAUUUCUUCUUCAGCCCUUUCUGAUGCAUUUUAAUGUCUUGUCUUUUCUUUGCAGCCAUGCAUGAAUGCUGAGAAAGCAUUCUGUUAUUGACACCCUAAGAAAAAUAGAAGUAUUCUUGUUGAAUGGUUGUCGUCCAGAAACAUCUUCCAAUACGUAUUUUUCAACUCUUACUUUGUCUGCUACCACAUUACUGAUUUUUUGCCCCUUUUUUAAGUUGUUUUUGUGCCAAAAUCUAAACAUUGC